This is a long non-coding RNA of Brassica napus (rape), 5522 nucleotides long. RefSeq lists it as uncharacterized. NCBI's taxonomy places the organism in Eukaryota, Viridiplantae, Streptophyta, Magnoliopsida, Brassicales, Brassicaceae. The record is from RefSeq and is a predicted model, not a curated record. The transcript is spliced from 2 exons.
UAUGUGUUACGACAGACGUGUAACGAGCAAACGCGUUUCCUCGCUAAUUCGUCGUAAAGCCUCUUUUACGACGAAUUAGCGAGGAAAACCGCCCUCGUUAAGAUUAUGUUUUCUUGUAGUGAACUUUCAAGUAAAGACUGUGAUUUGGGAGACCAGAAGCCUUGAUGGUGUUUAGAAAUUGGGAGUGAGAGCUUGGUCCUUGGCUGAGAAUCAGUAAGCAUCAAUCGAGUCAUAACUUAAGAAAUUCUUCACCUGCAUGUUAACAACUUCGAAAUCAACUAAUUUUAAAAAAAAAAAAAUUGUAUAGCCGAAUUUAAAACCAUAAAUUAUAUUACUUGGUAGUUUAUACAAGUGUUGGUAUUGUGUUCAUCUUUUAGACUGCAAUGUGAAGCUAUAUUGUGUUCAUCUCUUAGACUGCAAUAUGAAGUCAUGUAUAGACUUCUAUGUUUUUGGUGAAUUUUUGUAGCGAUUUCUGUGGACCUGUGAAUUUUUGUAGCAAUUUCUGUGGACCUAUGUUGAUUUCAAAUAGUUAAAAAAAUUAAAUACUCUUUUUUAUUUCUGGAUUUAACAAUAAAAUUGAUCAUGUUUGGAAUGCAUUUAUGUUACCAUUAAUUAUUGAUGUAUUACUAUGGGGAAAUGAUAGUUACAAAGUGAACUUGCCGAUUAUAAAUACUUGGAAAACUAAAUACUAAUUUACACACAUAAACCACUAGUUUUUUCGUUUAUUCAUUAAGGGUUGUUUUUUUAUUUUAAGUUUUUCAAAAUUAAUAGUUAGUUGGACAAAUAUUUUACAGAAAAAUAUUUAGGUAUUAAAUGAAGGGAAAAUUGCCAAAACAAAAUAAAAAUUCGGCAUGGUUGUCCCCUUAGUAUAAUAUCAUCACUAAGUUGUUUCUAUAGUAUAAUAUUUUUCAUAAUCCCAAAACUAAUCCUUCAUUAACCAAAUUAAUCAUAUUAAACAUAAUUGGAAAAUUUAAUAGUUGAAUUAAAAUUAAAAUGUUUAGAAUAAUUGAAUUAAAAUUAAAAUGUUUAGCAAAAAAGAAAAAAAAAAUAUUAAAAAUUAAAACAAAAAGGGAAACGUAACCCUAAAUCCCUUGCUUCCCCGUGUGGUUUCUCCGCCUCUCUCUCUCUCGAGAAAAAGAACAUGGUGAUCUUGUGUACCACCAACCGGUGAAAUCAAUGGCGGUCUAGAGCUUCUCCGCCUCUCUGGUUCUCUCCGCUUCUCUCCACCUCUCCACUUCCCUCCGCCUCUCCGCUUCUCUCCACCUCUCCGCUUGUCUCCCGCCUCUCCGUCUCUCUCCUCCGGUUCCCUGGUUCCAAUUUCUCGUAAAGAAGAACCUUUCUGCUGGUAUCGCUUCCGGUUGAUAAUCCUAGACAACCUUUAUCUUUGCAUGUUUCUCAAGUGAUAAGGGUUUUUGUUGCUAUGUGUUUGUGUUCCUCAGGUUCCUCUUUGCAUGUUCGAUUGUUAGGAAUAUGCAAAAUCGUUUUUUUAAAAUAUUUUUACAAGGCAAUUCGAUCAAAACACAUUUUAGGAAGUUAGAAUAUUUUUAGAAUAUUUUUUAAACUGAAAUUUCCUUAAUUUUCGCAAAAAAAAACAGGUUUUCUUAUCCGUAGAAGGUACAUUCUACACUGUGUAGAACCAUGACAAAAAUCCUGAAUACAAUUUCUACCUUAUGUAGAUGUACGAGUAAUGUCUAGAUUUCGCAUUCUGGAAAUUUUAGAAUACUUCAUAAAAGUAGAAACUACAAUCUAGAGAAAAGUAGAUAUUUUUACAACUAGUAGAAUUCGCAUUCUCCAUAUUUAGAAUUUUAAUUAAAAGUAGAUUGUUCGUUCUGAAAAAGUAGAUGAACUUGUAUAAUUUAGAAUUCAUUUUCUACUAACCCAUUUUCCAUAGAAGACGAAAUAUACUUUUAGUAGAACGAAAUUUAAAAAUUUAUUUAUCAAGUUUUUUGACCAACAAAAAAUAUCAUUUUGUGUAUAUGGGUGGUUUAUUAGUUGUUUUUCUUUUUAUAAUUUUUUUGAUUCAUGAAACUAUUUAUUUUAUUAAGUUUCAGAAAUUGAAGAGGUAAAACGGAUACAAAAUGGACAAAAAUGGUUUUAUACCAAAGGGACAAUCAAACUGAAUUACUGUUCCGCUUUGGCAAUUUUCCCUUAAAUGAAUCAUUUACAAAUAAUUUUUUAUUUUAAAAACUCAUUUUUCUGCAUGCUUGACCUUAAUUAUUGGGUUGCUAAAAGAAUAUUCCUCUAGCAUAUUGUCUCAUGUUUUAUCUCUUGACUAGUAUUUUGGCCCGUGCUAUGCACGGCCAUUGCCAUUACCAUAAAAAAAAUUCCACAUAUAAUUAGUAAAUGAUUUUUAAUAUUAUACAAAAUUAAUUAUAUAAAUUAAAAAAUUUAAAUUUAAAACUGCAUAGUAAAAUUAAAUUUGUAUAUGGAUAUGAUAUAGUAUAUAAACCGGUCAAACAGAACAAACUGAUUAAUUUAAAUAUAGUAGUAUAACUAUAUGUAAAUUAUAUAAUAUAAUUAAUAAGAUAUAAAUAAUUUAUUUUAUUAAUAUGAUCUUCAUACUUAAAAUGCUUAUUUUAGUUAUUCAAUUUUUUUUAAGUUAAAGGUUUUUUCUCAUUUUUAUCAAAUUAUAUAAAAUUUAAUUUAUUUUUUUCAUUGACAAAUAUGUGUGCUACCAUUUACUUAUUUAAUAAUAUAAUGAGUUACAAUUUUCUUAUUUUUAUUCUAUAAAAAUAUUAUUAUUAAUUUAAUAUGGUUACUAAUUUUUUUUAUGUUUUAAUAAAGCCAAUAUCUAAUCAAAUAAAGUAAAAUUCAUAAAAUUGAAUAUAUUCAUAGGUUUUGGUAGUAAACCGAAAACCGACAGUAUAAACCAAACCAAACCAAAGUAGAUAUGGUUUUAAUAUGGUAACUAUUUUUUUUAAACUAAAAUAACGAAACCAAAAAAGCCGAACCGGAAUCCGGAUUGGAGAACCUCAUUGUGAAAUUUUGGAAGCUGUUGAGAUAUAAAAAAACAUUGUGUCUAUUGAUAUGGUUUUUGAGGAUGCAAUUGUGAGUGCACAACAAAAUUAUUUUUGAUGAUUCAUAACUGCAGUUCAAUGCACGGGCAUUGCCAAUAUGAUAAAAAUAAGAUUCCAUAUAUAAUUAGCAAAUGAUUUCUUAAUAUUAUACAAAAUUAACUGUAUAAAUUAAAAAAUUGAAAUUUGAAACUGCGUAGGAAAUUCUGGAGGUGCUAAAAAAUUGAAAUUGAAAUUAUUAUACAACACAUUGAGAAUUCUGGAGGUGCUGAAACUCGUCUUUUAUUGAUACGCUCAUUGUACCACAUUAAAGCACCACAAUGUUUGCAUUGGAAUGUUGGAUCGCCGAAGUCUUCGUAAUCUAUGAAAAAAUUAGGUCAUUAUCUAUGUUGUUACUAUUAUGCUUUCAAAAUCCUAUGUACGUCAUGUUAUAUGUAUAGAAAAAUACUAAAUUAUUUGCUAAUGAUAUAUUGCUUCAGUAUAAUACCUGGAUUUGGAGUAAUAGCUUGAAAUGAAGUAGGAAUAGAGUGCUGGCUGGAGCUUGCCGAGUUAAAACUAACUGAAAGUUGAGAAUAAUAUAUUCUGAUAAAUAUUUAAAUUAGUAAAUAAUGAUUAUAAAUGUAAAUGAAUUACAAUACUACAUGAUACUCUUUGGUUUUGAGUUCUUCCUCCUAUCUCUCAAAAUGCACAUACGUUGGUUCCAUGACUAAAUAUCUUCUACCAUGAGGAAAUGAUCAAACCAGAAGCAAGAUUAAUUGGGUUGCUUAGAGGAAAAGAAACUGCAAUAUAGAAAACAAACAUAGCUCUAAAUACCUUGUCUUACGUUGAUUCUUCUCUGAGUGACCUUUUCUUUUCCUUUGCGUCGCAUUAUGUUUUGUCCUGUAAAAACAUAGGAGUUAAAUAAUUUCAAGGUGAUUAUAUUCUGAAAAGAGAAUGAGCGUUUACCUGUUUUAAGUUUAACGUCGAACGAUGUGGAAGAAGAAGAAGUGGAGAAAGUAAAAAAAUGGAGACACUACGAACAGUUAAGUUUUAAAUAAUUUCAAAUCCCUCCAAAAUAAGUAAAUUAAAUUAAUAUAUCUUUCCUCAUUCAUCCCUCCAAAUAAGUAAAUUGUAAUAUAAAUUUAAUUAUAUUAAAUUGUAUAGAUGUGUUUUACGUGAUCACUUUUUUUUUAUAAUUGUUUGCUUUUUCUUCUAGAUAACAGAGAAUAAUAAUAUAGAAUAUUGUAAAGGUAGAAAAUAUAAUUUAUCUCUAUACUAUAUAACAUGAAAAUGAUUAGUUGUUUAGGAUUUUAACAUAGCAUCUUUGUUUGGGAGUUGCAUAUGACUCAACAGAGAAAAACAAACGUUUAGACACUACAAAAGAAAUUGUGUAUUGUAUCAUUUAAAUUGUAUCAGUUAAAUAAAUGAUCUCAUUUUAAAUCACUUAUUCCUAAAUGAGACAAAUAUUAAUAAUUUGAAAUCAAUUAUAGGAAUUGAUGUUAUUAUUAACUAAUGUUGCAUCAGUUCAGUAAAAUGAUAUAUUUUUUCAUUAAUUUGUAUCACUUUAAGAAAAAUGAUAUUAUUUUAUAAAUUUAUAUCACUUAAAUAAUUGAUGUAUGUAUUAGUUUGGUUAACAUCACUUAUUAACAUGAUACAUAAUUGACAUCAGUUAAAAAUGAUACUAGUUAAAAUUAUAUAAUUAUAUUUUCAUCAAUUUACUAAAAUAAUAUUAUUUACUUUAGGUUGCCUCUAAAUAUUUGAAAGUAGAAAAUUAAUUUGCAUUAAUAAAAUAAUUAAUUAACAGAUAUAUAACGUAAUAUUAACAUGGAAUUAUGUGUAGCAAAGCAAAUCUGUUGCAAUCCCAAAAAAAUAGGAACCACGAACACGUCCAGUUGAAACAACUGAUCACUUGAACCAAUCGUUAAAAUUAGUUUUCUACAAAUAUUAACGAUACGAGAAGUAGUUAAUAUCUUGUGGCUUUAAUGAAUGCAUCUUAUUUUCUUUUUUUGUCAAGAUCCUCUCUCGUUAAGCCUUCGUCUUCCUCUUCAGUUCUUAAACUUGUUUAUGAGUUUAAAAUUUAUUGUUCUAAGUUUUUUGAUAAAAAACAAAAUUUCAACAAGCAUCAAACAUUUAUUUCUCAUAUGAGUCAUGAUGUUGAUUUUGUUUCUUCUUGUGGAGGAUAUGACAAAGAGACCAAGGUUUGCUAAUCAGACUAAUACGCUGGAAAACUCUCAAAAGGAAUUGGAGUCUUCGAAUAUUUUAGAAGUUGACUCAAAAUCUGGGAAAAGAGUAGACGUCAGAGAAUAUCGCCGGGUGGAGAGUUAUACGAUGAAUCUCGUUAACUCAGCUUCAUGCCAUCAACUGAGACGAAGAAUGGAAAUAGAGAUCUAAAGAUCUAGAAGAAGAAGAAGAAAAGAAGGCAAAAAAACAAUGUUGAAGUUUCGUCUAUGUAAUUUUUUUUAAUUUUUUUUUCUGGCUUAUACGUUAGAUUGUAAUUUUUAAUGGAAAUAAAAUUAAAAAUUGAUUAAA